RNAcentral lists this antisense RNA (160 nucleotides) under Citrobacter rodentium ICC168. RNAcentral's name for it is "sok antitoxin (CssrC)". It matches the Rfam family "sok antitoxin (CssrC)". From Rfam's summary of the family: Also identified in Shigella as CssrC. The record is from Rfam by way of RNAcentral. Lineage: Bacteria; Pseudomonadati; Pseudomonadota; Gammaproteobacteria; Enterobacterales; Enterobacteriaceae.
GGGUGCCGGAAGCUUUCGAGCUUCAGGCCAUUGCUGAGGUUCGGAAAGAAGAAAGCCCCAAGGAGAUAGUGUUAUCAACCUUGAGGCUACCCAUCCGAACCAGACAAUUCGGAUGGUAGUCUCUUCUUCGCAUGGAGGCAAUACAUGCUGACGAAAUAUG